UACAGGGGGUGCAAACGUUGCUCGGAAUCAUUGGGCGUAAAGCGCACGUAGGCGGUCUGUUAUGUCGGAUGUGAAAGCCCUUGGCUUAACUGAGGAAGUGCAUCCGAAACUGGCAGGCUAGAGUACUAAAGAGGGUCGCGGAAUUCCAGGUGUAGCGGUGAAAUGCGUAGAUAUCUGGAGGAACACCGGUGGCGAAGGCGGCAUCCUGGACCGAGAUUGACGCUGAGGCGCGAAAGCCAGGGGAGCAAACGGG
Molecule: ribosomal RNA, 253 nt
Filed under: uncultured bacterium
Lineage: Bacteria
Description: partial 16S ribosomal RNA
Rfam family: Bacterial small subunit ribosomal RNA
Source: RNAcentral